Molecule: ribosomal RNA, 497 nt
Filed under: uncultured bacterium
Lineage: Bacteria
Description: partial 16S ribosomal RNA
Rfam family: Bacterial small subunit ribosomal RNA
Source: RNAcentral
GAUGAACGCUGGCGGCGUGCCUAAUACAUGCAAGUCGAGCGAACGGACGAGAAUCUUGCUUUUCUGAUGUUAGCGGCGGACGGGUGAGUAACACGUGGAUAACCUACCUAUAAGACUGGUAUAACUUCGGGAAACCGGAGCUAAUACCGUAUAAUAUUUUGAACCGCAUUGUUCCAAAGUGAAAGACGGUCUUUCUGUCACUUAUAGCUGGAUCCGCGCUUCAUUAGCUAGUUGGUAAGGUAACGGCCUACCAAGGCAACGAUGCAUAGCCGACCUGAGAGGGUGAUCGGCCACACUGGAAGUGAGACACGGACCAGACUCCUGAGGGAGGCAGCAGUAGGGAAUCUUCCGCAAUGGGCGAAAGCAUGACGGAGCAAGGCCGAGUGAGUGAUGAAGGUCUUCGGAUCGUAAAAAUCUGUUAUUAGGGAAGAACAUAUGUGUAAGUAACUGUGCACAUCUUGACGGUAACUAAUCAGAAAGCCACGGCUAACUACGUG